Molecule: ribosomal RNA, 566 nt
Filed under: Staphylococcus aureus
Lineage: Bacteria; Bacillati; Bacillota; Bacilli; Caryophanales; Staphylococcaceae
Description: bacterial SSU rRNA
Rfam family: Bacterial small subunit ribosomal RNA
Source: RNAcentral
AGGUAACGGCUUACCAAGGCAACGAUGCAUAGCCGACCUGAGAGGGUGAUCGGCCACACUGGAACUGAGACACGGUCCAGACUCCUACGGGAGGCAGCAGUAGGGAAUCUUCCGCAAUGGGCGAAAGCCUGACGGAGCAACGCCGCGUGAGUGAUGAAGGUCUUCGGAUCGUAAAACUCUGUUAUUAGGGAAGAACAUAUGUGUAAGUAACUGUGCACAUCUUGACGGUACCUAAUCAGAAAGCCACGGCUAACUACGUGCCAGCAGCCGCGGUAAUACGUAGGUGGCAAGCGUUAUCCGGAAUUAUUGGGCGUAAAGCGCGCGUAGGCGGUUUUUUAAGUCUGAUGUGAAAGCCCACGGCUCAACCGUGGAGGGUCAUUGGAAACUGGAAAACUUGAGUGCAGAAGAGGAAAGUGGAAUUCCAUGUGUAGCGGUGAAAUGCGCAGAGAUAUGGAGGAACACCAGUGGCGAAGGCGACUUUCUGGUCUGUAACUGACGCUGAUGUGCGAAAGCGUGGGGAUCAAACAGGAUUAGAUACCCUGGUAGUCCACGCCGUAAACGAUGAG